Molecule: ribosomal RNA, 253 nt
Filed under: uncultured bacterium
Lineage: Bacteria
Description: partial 16S ribosomal RNA
Rfam family: Bacterial small subunit ribosomal RNA
Source: RNAcentral
UACGGAGGGGGCUAGCGUUGUUCGGAAUUACUGGGCGUAAAGCGCACGUAGGCGGCUUUGUAAGUUAGAGGUGAAAGCCCAGGGCUUAACCCUGGAAUUGCCUUUAAGACUGCAUCGCUAGAAUCGUGGAGAGGUGAGUGGAAUUCCCAGUGUAGAGGUGAAAUUCGUAGAUAUUGGGAAGAACACCGGUGGCGAAGGCGGCUCACUGGCUCGUAACUGACGCUCAUGCACGACAGCGUGGGGAUCAAACAGG